This 492-nucleotide ribosomal RNA is filed under the name uncultured bacterium. Its description in RNAcentral is "partial 16S ribosomal RNA". It matches the Rfam family "Bacterial small subunit ribosomal RNA", at positions 29 to 507 of the family's 1533-position model. The record is from RNAcentral.
AGUGAACGCUGGCGGUAGGCCUAACACAUGCAAGUCGAACGGCAGCACAGUAAGAGCUUGCUCUUACGGGUGGCGAGUGGCGGACGGGUGAGGAAUACAUCGGAAUCUACUUUUUCGUGGGGGAUAACGUAGGGAAACUUACGCUAAUACCGCAUACUACCUACGGGUGAAAGCAGGGGAUCUUCGGACCUUGCGCGAUUGAAUGAGCCGAUGUCGGAUUAGCUAGUUGGCGGGGUAAAGGCCCACCAAGGCGACGAUCCGUAGCUGGUCUGAGAGGAUGAUCAGCCACACUGGAACUGAGACACGGUCCAGACUCCUACGGGAGGCAGCAGUGGGGAAUAUUGGACAAUGGGCGAAAGCCUGAUCCAGCCAUACCGCGUGGGUGAAGAAGGCCUUCGGGUUGUAAAGCCCUUUUGUUGGGAAAGAAAAGCAGCAGGUUAAUACCCCGCUGUUCUGACGGUACCCAAAGAAUAAGCACCGGCUAACUUCGUG